GUCUCACGUAGGUCCUUUUGUUAGUCUGGUCCGGCUCCCGCGUGGGAGGGUCUCUGGGCUACCUCUGCAAGGGCCCUGGAAAAGGCUGGCAGAUCUCUUUGGUUAACAACAUCCUGUCAUGGACUGCUUUUUUGAUCCUCCUGGUAACUCUUGGUAGAGGCCAAGGGGACCAACCGGGGUAAUCUACAAGGUUGAUUAACUGCAGGAAAUAAAUGUGAACUUCAGGGAAAAAAAACAAAACAAAAAAAAAAAACCAAGCCCUAACUGAAGAAAGUUUCUCCUAAAACUACCAAAUCCCCAUUCCACAUGGACAAGUUGGGAAUUUGAUAGUGAAAGUAGAAGAUACCGUCACAAUCAUAAUUCAUCCUAGGAAAAAGACAAAUUGGACUCCAAGAGAGAACUUCAGGAAAGAGGCUGGAAACAGCAAGUUGGAGCUUUUGGCACUAGAGAAAUUUUCCUUGUUUACACCUGGGAGAUCAGGAUUUGAGUGAAAUUAAACAUAACAAGGCAGCAAGGAAGGGGUGACCAUGGAAAAAUUACCCCAGACUCUUGGAGAGAGAGCUUUGCCUUCUCAAGAUUCUGCCCUUUCCCAAAAGAAGAACUCAGGGGAGGAUAGAAUGACUGCUGUGGUCCUGACAACCAAG
This is a long non-coding RNA of Vombatus ursinus (common wombat), 644 nucleotides long. RefSeq lists it as uncharacterized. Lineage: Eukaryota; Metazoa; Chordata; Mammalia; Diprotodontia; Vombatidae. The transcript is spliced from 3 exons. The record is from RefSeq and is a predicted model, not a curated record.